This 215-nucleotide ribosomal RNA is filed under the name uncultured microorganism. Its description in RNAcentral is "partial 16S ribosomal RNA". It matches the Rfam family "Bacterial small subunit ribosomal RNA", at positions 9 to 225 of the family's 1533-position model. The record is from RNAcentral.
GAGUUUGAUCGUGGCUCAGGACGAACGCUGGCGGCGUGCUUAACACAUGCAAGUCGAACGGUAAGGCUCCAGCUUGCUGGGGUACACGAGUGACGAACGGGUGGGUAACACGUGGGUGACCUGCCCUGCACUUCGGGAUAAGCCUGGGAAACUGGGUCUAAUACCGGAUAGGACCGCACCGUGAGGGUGUGGUGGAAAGUUUUUUCGGUGUGGGA